RNAcentral lists this non-coding RNA (138 nucleotides) under Saprolegnia parasitica. RNAcentral's name for it is "TPP sequence". It matches the Rfam family "TPP riboswitch aptamer (THI element)". From Rfam's summary of the family: Vitamin B(1) in its active form thiamin pyrophosphate (TPP) is an essential coenzyme that is synthesised by coupling of pyrimidine and thiazole moieties in bacteria. The previously detected thiamin-regulatory element, thi box was extended, resulting in a new, highly conserved RNA secondary structure, the THI element, which is widely distributed in eubacteria and also occurs in some archaea. Analysis of operon structures identified a large number of new candidate thiamin-regulated genes, mostly transporters, in various prokaryotic organisms. Lineage: Eukaryota; Oomycota; Saprolegniomycetes; Saprolegniales; Saprolegniaceae. RNAcentral also lists the same sequence under 1 other name. The record is from RNAcentral.
UUGAGCUGCGGGGGGUGCCUGCGGAGUGUCGUCCCAUGCUAACGCAGCAUGACUAUGGCGAUCACUCCAGGGCUGAGAUCAUACCCUUUACACCUGAUCCGGUUCGUACCGGCGGAGGGACAGCGGCUUUAAGAGAAG